Molecule: long non-coding RNA, 1692 nt
Organism: Oncorhynchus mykiss (rainbow trout)
Lineage: Eukaryota; Metazoa; Chordata; Actinopteri; Salmoniformes; Salmonidae
Source: RefSeq, a predicted model, not a curated record
AUGAAUAUAAUUUUAUUUAGUUAGGCCGUGACUGGCCUCCCACAUCAGUACAGUAGGUGGCAGUGUGUAUACACCAUAAAAGUUGGACGCGAUCAACCAACCCAAUCCCAAAGAAGAAGAAAAAUAAGAAAUAGAAAUAGAAAUGAAUUACCGAAAUCCACAUACAAUUUUCGUUCAUAUCGAUUCCACCCACUAGGGGGCAGUCAAGAUCGCUUUCUGUGUUGAGGGCUUCCGUUUUUCCUGCCCUGUAUUUUUCAUCUGCGGACUCAGGGUUACUGAAAUCAAACGGAAGAGAUCUGUUAAAUGGUCGAGGUUUUGAAUUUGUUUAUUGUUUGAAGACCUUCACAAGAAGGCACUAAAAUGGGCAGGCAAGCAUCCAUGUCACCAAAAUAAAAAGCUUGAUAUUUAUUGGAAAGAAGCAUCAAGCUCAUCACUAUGCUUUCACUACCCUUGAAAGUUCAUAGUGGGAGGAUCACAUAACAUAGACUAUCAUCGUGGGACUUAGAAAGGAUGCUUAUUUCAAUAUUUGCACAUAAAAUAAUUUCCACUGCCAUUUCUUGCAUAAUUAAUUUUACAGACACAUAAAGAUCCAACCUUGUCUGGCAUGGUUUGUCAAUUUAUAAUGUUUAUGGACAUAUUUGCUGUUCCCAUCAGGACAUUUUUUUUAAUCCAACGUACUUUACUCGCAUAAAAAGGUAGGAUGGAAACCUGCUUAGUGUCAAAAUGUGUGUAUUGUUUACAGAGGAAGACAUGCAGGGCAAGACCAAAGAGGAGAUUGAGAUGAUGAAGAUUAUGGGCUUCGGCAACUUUGACACCACAAAAGGAAGGAAGACCGAUGGCGCAGUCCAUGCACAUGCUAUCAAUGUGUCCCAGAAGAGGAAAUACAGGCAUGCUGAUUGAUUCAUUGUCUUUAGAAACUACAAGAGGUGUUAUGUGGUUUAUCAUUUCACAAAUAACAUUCAAAACUGCCCGCAAGUAUUCGUGUAAAUGCUAUAAUAUAGACUGCAUCUAUUAUUCAUAAUAUUGCAUAUGAGUGGGACUGCAUAUUCAGUAUCUAGUCCUUCAUGUUUGGCUAUUCUUUAUUUUCCAUCACAUUCUGGCCACCUGUAAUUAAGUAGCAUAUCUUGUUGAUGUAUGCGCCAAAUAGCAUGGUUUGUUUAUAAAUCAACAGUUGCAACUGCAAGACACAAGUGCCUGGCUGAUAUUGAGCAGUCUGAACAGUGCUCAUUCUCACUGGAGCCAAUCACUUCUGCAGGUGUUUCUAUGCAGACAGAUCGUCUCUCCUAUUGGUGGAUGAUGAUGUAAUGUACAAGUGCUGCAAGGGUAGCAGUGAUGUAACGUUUCCCCCUCUCUUUUCAGGCAUUGCUUGAAGUAGGAUAAACAACAGACUCAUUGAUGUUACCUAAAAUGUACUUGCCUUGUGGUCUCUCUUUACUGUGACACUGUGUGUUUUGGUGAUAAAGUUUUUUAAAAAUGGUAUAGUCUGUUCCUUUUAUAUUUAUUGACUCCCUGCACUGCAUAUAAGUUCUGCAAAUACUCAUGCGACUGAAUAAGUAAAUGUUUCUGUAAUAUCAGUUUUGUUGAUUUAUUUUAAGAAUGAGCCUUGUUAACAACAUGCCUGGGUUAAUAUGUGUUUCAUAAUGCAUUUUAACAUGUUUUUGAUUCAGAUUAAAAACUUACAUUCAGAUCAUG